RNAcentral lists this ribosomal RNA (1056 nucleotides) under Klebsiella variicola. Its description in RNAcentral is "bacterial SSU rRNA". It matches the Rfam family "Bacterial small subunit ribosomal RNA", at positions 32 to 1088 of the family's 1533-position model. The record is from RNAcentral. Lineage: Bacteria; Pseudomonadati; Pseudomonadota; Gammaproteobacteria; Enterobacterales; Enterobacteriaceae.
AGGAAUGGCCGCAGCUACCAUGCAGUCGAGCGGUAGCACAGAGAGCUUGCUCUCGGGUGACGAGCGGCGGACGGGUGAGUAAUGUCUGGGAAACUGCCUGAUGGAGGGGGAUAACUACUGGAAACGGUAGCUAAUACCGCAUAACGUCGCAAGACCAAAGUGGGGGACCUUCGGGCCUCAUGCCAUCAGAUGUGCCCAGAUGGGAUUAGCUGGUAGGUGGGGUAACGGCUCACCUAGGCGACGAUCCCUAGCUGGUCUGAGAGGAUGACCAGCCACACUGGAACUGAGACACGGUCCAGACUCCUACGGGAGGCAGCAGUGGGGAAUAUUGCACAAUGGGCGCAAGCCUGAUGCAGCCAUGCCGCGUGUGUGAAGAAGGCCUUCGGGUUGUAAAGCACUUUCAGCGGGGAGGAAGGCGGUGAGGUUAAUAACCUCAUCGAUUGACGUUACCCGCAGAAGAAGCACCGGCUAACUCCGUGCCAGCAGCCGCGGUAAUACGGAGGGUGCAAGCGUUAAUCGGAAUUACUGGGCGUAAAGCGCACGCAGGCGGUCUGUCAAGUCGGAUGUGAAAUCCCCGGGCUCAACCUGGGAACUGCAUUCGAAACUGGCAGGCUAGAGUCUUGUAGAGGGGGGUAGAAUUCCAGGUGUAGCGGUGAAAUGCGUAGAGAUCUGGAGGAAUACCGGUGGCGAAGGCGGCCCCCUGGACAAAGACUGACGCUCAGGUGCGAAAGCGUGGGGAGCAAACAGGAUUAGAUACCCUGGUAGUCCACGCUGUAAACGAUGUCGAUUUGGAGGUUGUGCCCUUGAGGCGUGGCUUCCGGAGCUAACGCGUUAAAUCGACCGCCUGGGGAGUACGGCCGCAAGGUUAAAACUCAAAUGAAUUGACGGGGGCCCGCACAAGCGGUGGAGCAUGUGGUUUAAUUCGAUGCAACGCGAAGAACCUUACCUGGUCUUGACAUCCACAGAACUUUCCAGAGAUGAUGUGCCUUCGGAACUGUGAGACAGUGCUGCAUGGCUGUCGUCAGCCUCGUGUUGUGAAAUGUUGGGUUAAGUCGC